GGAAAAUUUGGUUGCAACAUCUCUUACCCACUAAUUACCCAGGAUGAUUCAACUGAUCUGGUUGAAUCAGAUGGGUGGUGACCCCUUCCUCUUUGACUGCUCCAUGUGUGUCCUUCCUGAAGUCAAGUGCUUGGUGGAUGAGGGUAACCAUUCCAGAUAGGAGGAGUGUAUUGAUCUUCAGUCAAAGGUAUAUGAAGCUCUGCAGGGAAAAAAACCCAAAUCAAGUAAUACCCUGGGAGGAAAUAAGGCAAGGCAAGGCAAAAAAAAAAGAGUUGGAAAACUGUGCAAUUAUUUUUUCUUU
Molecule: small nuclear RNA, 301 nt
Filed under: Ophiophagus hannah (king cobra)
Lineage: Eukaryota; Metazoa; Chordata; Lepidosauria; Squamata; Elapidae
Description: 7SK RNA
Rfam family: 7SK RNA
About the family: 7SK was discovered as an abundant small nuclear RNA in the mid-70s but a possible function has only recently been suggested.
Source: Rfam by way of RNAcentral